This 504-nucleotide ribosomal RNA is filed under the name uncultured bacterium. Its description in RNAcentral is "partial 16S ribosomal RNA". It matches the Rfam family "Bacterial small subunit ribosomal RNA", at positions 30 to 523 of the family's 1533-position model. The record is from RNAcentral.
AUUGAACGCUGGCGGCAUGCCUUACACAUGCAAGUCGAACGGCAGCAUGGAGAGCUUGCUCUCUGAUGGCGAGUGGUGAACGGGUGAGUAAUGCAUCGGAACGUACCGUGUAAUGGGGGAUAACGUAGCGAAAGUUACGCUAAUACCGCAUACGACCUGAGGGUGAAAGCAGGGGAUCGCAAGACCUUGCGUUAUACGAGCGGCCGAUGUCAGAUUAGCUAGUUGGUGAGGUAAAGGCUCACCAAGGCGAUGAUCUGUAGCGGGUCUGAGAGGAUGAUCCGCCACACUGGGACUGAGACACGGCCCAGACUCCUACGGGAGGCAGCAGUGGGGAAUUUUGGACAAUGGGGGCAACCCUGAUCCAGCCAUGCCGCGUGAGUGAAGAAGGCCUUCGGGUUGUAAAGCUCUUUCGGCCGGGAAGAAAUCGCACAGGCUAAUACUCUGUGUGGAUGACGGUACCGGCAUAAGAAGCACCGGCUAACUACGUGCCAGCCGCCGCAGUAA